AUUGAACGCUGGCGGCAUGCUUUACACAUGCAAGUCGAACGGCAGCGCGGGCUUCGGCCUGGCGGCGAGUGGCGAACGGGUGAGUAAUGCAUCGGAACGUGCCCAGUAGUGGGGGAUAGCCCGGCGAAAGCCGGAUUAAUACCGCAUACGACCUGAGGGUGAAAGCGGGGGACCGAAAGGCCUCGCGCUAUUGGAGCGGCCGAUGUCGGAUUAGCUAGUUGGUGGGGUAAAGGCUUACCAAGGCGACGAUCCGUAGCUGGUCUGAGAGGACGACCAGCCACACUGGGACUGAGACACGGCCCAGACUCCUACGGGAGGCAGCAGUGGGGAAUUUCGGACAAUGGGGGCAACCCUGAUCCAGCCAUGCCGCGUGCGGGAAGAAGGCCUUCGGGUUGUAAACCGCUUUUGUUCGGGAAGAAAUCCUCUGGGCUAAUACCCCGGGGGGAUGACGGUACCGGAAGAAUAAGCACCGGCUAACUACGUG
Molecule: ribosomal RNA, 484 nt
Filed under: uncultured bacterium
Lineage: Bacteria
Description: partial 16S ribosomal RNA
Rfam family: Bacterial small subunit ribosomal RNA
Source: RNAcentral